UUCGUUUGACAACUUCCGGGUGCCCGCGCGAGGUGGGUUGAAAGGGAAGGGGGUGCGAUUCCCCCACGGUCCCGCCACUGUGAUGGGUCCCGCGGGUCUCACAUGCCACUGGUCGUUCCGGCCGGGAAGGCGAGACCCGUACCGCGGCCCUGAGUCAGGAAACCUGCCCGGAAGCGAUUCGCCCG
This 185-nucleotide non-coding RNA is filed under the name Candidatus Eiseniibacteriota. The record is from RNAcentral.